AACUGAUACUACCUGCGGGAACCUGCGGAGGGAUCAUUAAUGAGAAACUGCCCCUCGCGGGUAGAUCUCCCACCCUUUGUAAACUUACCUUUGUUGCUUUGGCAGGCCCGUCUCCGGACCGCCGGCUUCGGCUGGCCAGUGCCUGCCAGAGGAUUCUAAAACUCUGUCUGUCAGUGUUGUCUGAGUCUAUAUACAAUCGUUAAAACUUUCAACAAUGGAUCUCUAGAUCGGAAGAGCACA
Molecule: unclassified non-coding RNA, 240 nt
Filed under: soil metagenome
Description: partial contains 5.8S ribosomal RNA, internal transcribed spacer 2, and large subunit ribosomal RNA
Source: RNAcentral